This is a non-coding RNA of Danionella cerebrum, 75 nucleotides long. The record is from the annotation of a GenBank genome assembly. Lineage: Eukaryota; Metazoa; Chordata; Actinopteri; Cypriniformes; Danionidae.
AUUCCUGUGGCUCAUUUCGUAGAGCAUUGUGCUAACAACACAAAGAUUGUGGGUUCAAAUCCCUCACCAUCAAUA